Molecule: ribosomal RNA, 425 nt
Filed under: uncultured bacterium
Lineage: Bacteria
Description: bacterial SSU rRNA
Rfam family: Bacterial small subunit ribosomal RNA
Source: RNAcentral
GUAGGGAAUCUUGCGCAAUGGGCGAAAGCCUGACGCAGCCAUGCCGCGUGAAUGAUGAAGGUCUUAGGAUUGUAAAAUUCUUUCAGCGGGGACGAUAAUGACGGUACCCGCAGAAGAAGCUCCGGCUAACUUCGUGCCAGCAGCCGCGGUAAUACGAAGGGGGCUAGCGUUGCUCGGAAUUACUGGGCGUAAAGGGCGCGUAGGCGGAUGUUUAAGUCAGAGGUGAAAGCCCAGGGCUCAACCUUGGAACUGCCUUUGAUACUGAACAUCUUGAGUACGGGAGAGGUGAGUGGAACUCCGAGUGUAGAGGUGAAAUUCGUAGAUAUUCGGAAGAACACCAGUGGCGAAGGCGACUCACUGGCCCGUUACUGACGCUGAGGCGCGAAAGCGUGGGGAGCAAACAGGAUUAGAAACCCCAGUAGUCC